GCCGGGCAUGGUGGUGCACACCUGUAAUCCCAGCAGCUCAGGAGGCUGAGACAGGAGGAUUACAAGUUCAAAGCCAGCCUCAGCAAAGGCGAGGCACUAAGCAAUUCAGUGAGACCCUGUCUCUA
Molecule: small RNA, 125 nt
Filed under: Marmota monax (woodchuck)
Lineage: Eukaryota; Metazoa; Chordata; Mammalia; Rodentia; Sciuridae
Source: RNAcentral